RNAcentral lists this transfer RNA (76 nucleotides) under Acidobacteriota bacterium. Its description in RNAcentral is "Acidobacteria bacterium tRNA-Arg". It matches the Rfam family "tRNA". Rfam says of the family: Transfer RNA (tRNA) molecules are approximately 80 nucleotides in length. Their secondary structure includes four short double-helical elements and three loops (D, anti-codon, and T loops). Lineage: Bacteria; Pseudomonadati; Acidobacteriota. RNAcentral also lists the same sequence under 1 other name. The record is from RNAcentral.
GCGCCUGUAGCUCAGUGGAUAGAGCACCGGCCUCCGGAGCCGGGUGUCAGGGGUUCAAAUCCCUUCAGGCGUACCA